GUGGGGAAUCUUCCGCAAUGGACGAAAGUCUGACGGAGCAACGCCGCGUGAGUGAAGAAGGUUUUCGGAUCGUAAAGCUCUUUCGUUAGGGACGAACGUGCUCUUUGUGAAUAAUGAGGAGUAAUGACGGUACCUAAAUAAGAAGCCACGGCUAACUACGUGCCAGCAGCCGCGGUAAUACGUAGGUGGCAAGCGUUGUCCGGAAUUAUUGGGCGUAAAGCGCGCGCAGGCGGGAUAUCAAGUCUGUCUUAAAAGUGCGAGGCUCAACCUCGUGAGGGGACAGAAACUGGUAUUCUUGAGUGUCGGAGAGGAAAGUGGAAUUCCAAGUGUAGCGGUGAAAUGCGUAGAGAUUUGGAAGAACACCAGUGGCGAAGGCGACUUUCUGGACGAUGUCUGACGCUGAGGCGCGAAAGCUAGGGGAGCGAACGGGAUUAGAUACCCGGGUUGUCC
Molecule: ribosomal RNA, 450 nt
Filed under: uncultured bacterium
Lineage: Bacteria
Description: partial 16S ribosomal RNA
Rfam family: Bacterial small subunit ribosomal RNA
Source: RNAcentral